This 3741-nucleotide unclassified non-coding RNA is filed under the name Hevea brasiliensis (rubber tree). Lineage: Eukaryota; Viridiplantae; Streptophyta; Magnoliopsida; Malpighiales; Euphorbiaceae. The record is from RNAcentral.
UAGAGAGAGAGAGAGAGAGGGAUAGAGAACGAAGUGCUAAGCAGGAGUUUGAAGGGGUUUCGCUUGCCUUCUUUCUCUUUCUUUCUCUCCGAAAAAAAAAAAGGGUUUCUGCUGAGAGGAAGUUGGAGACAUUUGGACAUUUUCCUUCUGUCUCCUCUACCUCUCUACCUUUCUUUUCCUUUUUCUUUUCUUUCGCGUUUUCUAUAUUGUCUUCUCAAAUACUGUUUCUCGAGUUUUAGACUAUUAUUUCUUGAUUUAAGAUUUUGGGUUGGCUUCUUCGGGUGCUAAUUUCAUGGGUCUGAUUGAGAAAUGGAGCAAAUCUUUUGACAAUUGCUGUGUGAGAUAAGUGCUUGUAAAUUUGUAGAGAAUAGGAAGCAAAUCUAGAGGGGAUACUGGAACCCAAUAGGGGAAAAAACAGGCUUUAAUCAAGUUCAUGAGCUUUGGGGGUUUCCUUGAAAACGGUAGUCCUGGUGCUGGAGGUGCAAGAAUCGUGGCAGAUAUACCAUACACCAGCAGCAACAUGCCCGCUGGUGCAAUAGCUCAGCCACGCCUCAUCUCCCCUUCUCUCACCAAAUCCAUGUUCAACUCCCCUGGACUAUCUCUCGCUCUUCAGCAACCCAAUAUAGAUGGUCAAGGUGACGUUGCUAGAAUGGCCGAAAACUUCGAACCAAGCGGUGGUAGGAGAAGCAGAGAAGAGGAACAUGAAAGCAGAUCUGGGAGUGAUAAUAUGGAUGGAGCUUCAGGUGAUGAUCAAGACGCAGCUGACAAUCCUCCAAGGAAGAAGAGAUAUCACCGACACACUCCACAGCAAAUUCAAGAACUGGAAGCUCUGUUCAAAGAGUGUCCUCACCCUGACGAGAAGCAAAGAUUGGAGCUUAGCAAAAGGCUUUGCUUGGAGACCAGGCAAGUCAAGUUCUGGUUUCAAAAUCGCCGAACCCAAAUGAAGACCCAAUUGGAACGCCACGAGAACUCAUUACUCAGGCAAGAGAACGACAAACUUCGGGCAGAGAACAUGUCCCUCAGGGAUGCGAUGAGAAACCCAAUUUGUUCCAACUGCGGUGGUCCUGCAAUUAUCGGUGAUAUUUCACUCGAAGAGCAGCAUUUGACGAUUGAGAAUGCCCGCUUAAAAGAUGAACUGGAUCGUGUUUGCGCCCUCGCUGGCAAGUUCUUGGGUCGCCCCAUUUCUUUAUUGACUACUUCUAUUGGCCCUCCGAUGCCAAAUUCAAGCUUGGAGCUUGGUGUUGGUGGCAAUGGUUUUGGUUGUUUAAGCACUGUUGCCACAACAGCACCUUUGGGGCCUGAUUUUGGAGCUGGGAUUUCAAACGCGUUGCCUGUGGUGACCCAAACUAGACCACUAACAGCUGGCGUCACAGGCCUUGAUAGAUCACUUGAGAGAUCUAUGUUCCUGGAGCUGGCGUUGGCUGCCAUGGAUGAGUUGGUUAAGAUGGCACAGACUGAUGAGCCUCUUUGGUUCAGGAGCUUGGAGGGUGGUAGGGAAAUAUUGAACCAUGAAGAGUAUAUGAGAAUUUUCACUCCUUGCAUUGGGAUGAAACCUAGUGGGUUUGUUUCUGAGGCUUCCAGGGAAACUGGCAUGGUAAUCAUCAGCAGUUUGGCACUUGUAGAGACUCUGAUGGACUCGAAUCGAUGGGCAGAAAUGUUUCCUUGUAUGAUUGCUAGGACAUCUACCACUGAUGUCAUAUCCAUUGGAAUGGGGGGAACUAGAAAUGGCUCACUUCAGUUGAUGCAUGCUGAGCUCCAAGUUCUAUCUCCUUUGGUCCCCGUUCGGGAGGUCAAUUUCCUCCGGUUUUGCAAGCAGCACGCAGAGGGUGUGUGGGCUGUUGUUGAUGUGUCCAUUGACAGUGUCCGAGAAACUUCCGGUGCACCAACAUUUGUGAACUGCAGGAGACUUCCUUCUGGUUGUGUGGUUCAAGAUAUGCCUAACGGGUACUGCAAGGUUACAUGGGUUGAGCAUGCAGAAUAUGACGAAACUCAAAUCCACCAACUCUACCAGCCGUUGAUUAGUUCCGGUAUGGGCUUCGGCGCCCAGCGAUGGGUUGCCACCCUUCAACGCCAAAGCGAGUGUCUAGCCAUUCUCAUGUCCUCCACUGUUUCCACCAGAGACCACACAGCGAUUACCUCGGGUGGGAGAAGAAGCAUGCUGAAGCUGGCUCAGAGAAUGACCGAUAACUUCUGUGCUGGGGUGUGCGCGUCAACGGUUCACAAAUGGAACAAGCUGAACGCAGGAAAUGUGGAUGAAGAUGUUAGGGUGAUGACUAGAAAGAGCGUGGAUGAUCCCGGCGAGCCACCGGGUAUUGUAUUGAGCGCUGCCACUUCAGUUUGGCUACCUGUUUCUCCUCAGAGACUAUUUGAUUUUCUGCGCGAUGAACGGCUGAGGAGUGAGUGGGACAUCCUAUCCAAUGGUGGACCCAUGCAGGAGAUGGCCCACAUUGCCAAGGGCCAGGAUCACGGCAACUGCGUCUCCCUUCUACGUGCUAGUGCCAUGAACGCGAACCAGAGCAGCAUGCUGAUCCUGCAGGAGACGUGCAUAGACGCAGCGGGUUCGCUUGUAGUGUACGCUCCCGUUGACAUUCCAGCCAUGCACGUGGUGAUGAACGGUGGAGAUUCUGCUUACGUAGCUCUCCUUCCAUCCGGAUUCGCUGUUGUCCCUGACGGUCCUGGCUCCCGUGGGUCCCCUACUACGCCUAAUGGCCCAACUGGUAAUAACGGUGGUGCUGGCGGCCAACACAGAGUGAGUGGGUCCCUUCUGACGGUGGCAUUCCAAAUUUUGGUGAAUAGUCUCCCUACGGCCAAGCUCACUGUAGAGUCGGUGGAGACAGUGAACAAUCUCAUCUCCUGCACUGUCCAAAAGAUCAAAGCAGCGCUUCAAUGUGAAAGCUGAUUCAUAAACCCAUGCCCGUAGUGUCGUUUCCGUUUUUAAUCCUUUUAACAUAAUCAUGUCUCUUUAUGCAUUAUUUAGUGUGUGAUUGGUGGUGGCGGUUGGCCUAAGUGUGUGAAAAAAAGAGUUUGAUGUGUGAGUGAGACUAAUAGUGAGUUUGUGGGUGUUGAGUCAAGAACGAACCUCGCGUGGAGACUCCUUGCAUGGACGUUAAAAAGGGUAGGAAUUGUGUCUGUGACUCGUGUGCAUGCACAGUGCAAAAGAGCAAGGGUGGUGGUUCGGGUAUUGACUCAGGUCGACCCCUGAAUAUUGGCUCGAUUACUUAAAAAAACAGGGGACUUUCUAUUAAUCCAAUCCCUUUUCUUUCUUUUUAUUGGAUUGACUGAUGAUAAUCUUUCUUUCCCUGGACUGGAAAAAAAAGUCUCUUGUUGUUGGUGCUGUUAACUUAUUAUGUCAGGGUUUUUGUAUUAAUCUAGUGUUUGUUUACCAAAAAUAACCAUUUUAUUGUUGCAACAUUUGCACUUUGGCCUUCAAGCGCUUGAGGAGGUGAGAAAGAAGCAUAUUGUGGUAGAGGUGGUGCUGUGAGGAAGGGCCGCCUCGUUUCCUUGCCGCGCAGAGCAUUAAAUGUGUGAGCAGAAGCUGUUGGGGAAAAGCGUUGCUAGCAUUUAAUGCUGAAGGUUUGGCGUUGUUUCCGGCUACGUGUACAACCCAAUGAAAGCCUGACGCGUUUACGUUAGAGGUUUUUAGCUGAUAGACAAUAGACUGAAAGCUGUCCAUUUCCUUUGUGUGAAAUCUCUUCACUAUCGGCGAUAAUGCAUGGUGAUUUUUUUUUUUUUUUGUGUGAA